UAAGGAAUAUUGGUCAAUGGACGAAAGUCUGAACCAGCCAUGCCGCGUGAAGGAUGAAGGCCCUCUGGGUUGUAAACUUCUUUUAUCUGGGACGAAAAAAGGGCUUUCUAGCUCACUUGACGGUACCAGAGGAAUAAGCACCGGCUAACUCCGUGCCAGCAGCCGCGGUAAUACGGAGGGUGCAAGCGUUAUCCGGAUUUACUGGGUUUAAAGGGUGCGUAGGUGGGUUGGUAAGUCAGUGGUGAAAUCUCCGGGCUUAACUCGGAAACUGCCAUUGAUACUAUCAAUCUUGAAUUAUCUGGAGGUAAGCGGAAUAUGUCAUGUAGCGGUGAAAUGCUUAGAUAUGACAUAGAACACCCAUUGCGAAGGCAGCUUACUACGGAUACAUUGACACUGAUGCACGAAAGCGUGGGGAUCAAACAGGAUUAGAUACCCGCGUAGUCC
Molecule: ribosomal RNA, 444 nt
Filed under: uncultured bacterium
Lineage: Bacteria
Description: bacterial SSU rRNA
Rfam family: Bacterial small subunit ribosomal RNA
Source: RNAcentral